AAUCAACCGAGAUUCCCCCAGUAGCGGCGAGCGAACGGGGAGCAGCCCAGAGCCUGAAUCAGUAUGUGUGUUAGUGGAAGCGUCUGGAAAGGCGCGCGAUACAGGGUGACAGCCCCGUACACAAAAAUGCACAUAUUGUGAGCUCGAUGAGUAGGGCGGGACACGUGGUAUCCUGUCUGAAUAUGGGGGGACCAUCCUCCAAGGCUAAAUACUCCUGACUGACCGAUAGUGAACCAGUACCGUGAGGGAAAGGCGAAAAGAACCCCGGCGAGGGGAGUGAAAAAGAACCUGAAACCGUGUACGUACAAGCAGUGGGAGCACGCUUAGGCGUGUGACUGCGUACCUUUUGUAUAAUGGGUCAGCGACUUAUAUUCUGUAGCAAGGUUAACCGAAUAGGGGAGCCGAAGGGAAACCGAGUCUUAACUGGGCGUUAAGUUGCAGGGUAUAGACCCGAAACCCGGUGAUCUAGCCAUGGGCAGGUUGAAGGUUGGGUAACACUAACUGGAGGACCGAACCGACUAAUGUUGAAAAAUUAGCGGAUGACUUGUGGCUGGGGGUGAAAGGCCAAUCAAACCGGGAGAUAGCUGGUUCUCCCCGAAAGCU
RNAcentral lists this ribosomal RNA (603 nucleotides) under Escherichia coli. RNAcentral describes it as "partial 23S ribosomal RNA". It matches the Rfam family "Bacterial large subunit ribosomal RNA", at positions 223 to 867 of the family's 2925-position model. The record is from RNAcentral. Lineage: Bacteria; Pseudomonadati; Pseudomonadota; Gammaproteobacteria; Enterobacterales; Enterobacteriaceae.